CUUAGUACGGCGAGUGAAGCGGCAAAAGCUCAAAUUUGAAAUCUGGUACCUUCGGUGCCCGAGUUGUAAUUUGGAGAGGGCAACUUUGGGGCCGUUCCUUGUCUAUGUUCCUUGGAACAGGACGUCAUAGAGGGUGAGAAUCCCGUGUGGCGAGGAGUGCGGUUCUUUGUAAAGUGCCUUCGAAGAGUCGAGUUGUUUGGGAAUGCAGCUCUAAGUGGGUGGUAAAUUCCAUCUAAAGCUAAAUAUUGGCGAGAGACCGAUAGCGAACAAGUACAGUGAUGGAAAGAUGAAAAGAACUUUGAAAAGAGAGUGAAAAAGUACGUGAAAUUGUUGAAAGGGAAGGGCAUUUGAUCAGACAUGGUGUUUUGUGCCCUCUGCUCCUUGUGGGUAGGGGAAUCUCGCAUUUCACUGGGCCAGCAUCAGUUUUGGUGGCAGGAUAAAUCCAUAGGAAUGUAGCUUGCCUCGGUAAGUAUUAUAGCCUGUGGGAAUACUGCCAGCUGGGACUGAGGACUGCGACGUAAGUCAAGGAUGCUGGCAUAAUGGUUAUAUGCCGCCCGUCUUGAAACA
RNAcentral lists this ribosomal RNA (567 nucleotides) under Saccharomyces cerevisiae (brewer's yeast). RNAcentral describes it as "partial large subunit ribosomal RNA". It matches the Rfam family "Eukaryotic large subunit ribosomal RNA", at positions 79 to 661 of the family's 3401-position model. Lineage: Eukaryota; Fungi; Ascomycota; Saccharomycetes; Saccharomycetales; Saccharomycetaceae. The record is from RNAcentral.